AAAGAGAGAUAUGAUAGUUACACUGAUAAUAAGAAUGGCGGUGUUAGAGCAAGUAACAUAGAUAACGAGAAAAUCGUAGUGAAUUACACAUAAGAGUCACAGCUCAGUACGUUAAAGUAUACGUAAACAGGACGAGAUAAUACUGUACAAUUUUAGAGUUUUGUUAUAUUCCUUUGAACAUUUUGACUUCGUUUGUGACUAAUUUGUGAUAAUAGAAUUAAUAUACAGUCGCAGUAUGGUCGAAAAAGGGCUUUUUUUCGCUCCGAAAUGCGCCUGCAUUCAGCAGACGAUGUUUUUUUUACCGGCAGGUGAGCAACAGGUGAGUCGCCGGGUAUCUGAGCCGCUGACCCCAAGCUCAUCUCAUUUUCGGCAACUCUAUCUGAGUGUAAUGGCUGAUGUUUAUACAAAUCCAGACAAACAUGUGGUCCUUCACAACAAUGUUAAAAUGCCUAUUCUUGGUUUAGGCACAUCACACAAUGGUGGAUAUAGUCAUUCAGCUGUUGUGUAUGCAUUAAAAGACUGUGGGUAUAGACAUAUUGAUACAGCCAAACGAUACGGUUGUGAAGCUUACAUUGCUAAAGCUGUAAAGGAAUCAGAAGUCCCUCGUGAUGAAAUCUUCUUGGCGACAAAGUGUUGGCCCACUGACUAUGGGACCAUUGCUACUCGAAAUGCCUUCAAUGGUUCCUGCGAAAGACUGGGGUCAGAUUACAUAGAUCUUUAUCUUCUGCAUUGGCCUGAUGUACCUUCAAGUGUGAGUGACAGAAACCGCCUUUUGCAAGAAACAUGGCGGACACUAGAGGUGUUGCUGGAUGAGGAACGUGUGAGAGCCAUUGGGGUCAGCAACUUCCUUGAACGACACCUUGAUGUGAUUCUUGAGGAAUGUUCCGUGGUUCCUCACAUCAACCAGUGUGAGUUCCAUCCAUUCAAUAACCCCAAGCAAUUGCGAGAAUAUUGUGCUGAAAGGAAAAUACAAUUUGAGGGUUAUUCCCCUCUAGCAAAAGGUUAUGCUCUUGCGGACUCUACGGUGAAAGCUAUUGCUAAACUUCAUAGACGGAGCCCAUCACAGGUUCUGCUAAGGUGGUCUCUGCAGAGCAGGGUUCCUGCUAUACCAAAAUCAACCAAAGUGCAGCGGGUGAUGGAAAAUGCCCAGGGUUACUGUCCGCUAGGUAAUGGACAAAUUCUCGCGGACCCAAAAAUUAAAGAAAUUGCAGAGAGGCAUAACAGAUCCCCAGCUCAGGUUCUCAUUCGCUGGAAUCUCCACAAUAGAGUUGUAUGCAUCCCAAAAUCAACCAGGGAGCACAGGGUCAAAGAGAACUCAGAGGUGUUUGAUUUUGUUCUGCACCAAAAAGACAUGGAUAGUCUCUCUAUGUUAAAUGAUGACUUCCAUGUCUCAUGGGAUCCUAAUUCAUUGCCGUGAUACUUUCUGUUUACACCCUGGCCCCUCCCCAACACUCACAUUUCCUUGCUUCAGAGAUAUUUGACUUUGCUCUCACCGACGAGGACAGUGCAAUCCUGGACAACAUGGCUCAGAAACUGACAAUCAUGGAACGCAGUACAAUACAACACAAAAUUGAUAAUCCUCUACCUGAUGGAUACAAGUUGAAGAUGGUUAAAAUACCUGCUGAGCCAUAAGCAUCAGUAUUAUGGACUUGAAACUUGAAAGGUUAAAUUCUUUUAUGUAGUAUCCUCAUUUAUCAUAAGAAAAUAACUCAUUUUCUAACUUACAUAAAAUAUAAAGUAUAAUUUGCAAAUGCAUUAAAUAAUUCAGUGAAGGAUACUUUGUGGAACAUCACCCAAUUGAACCAAAUUUAAGAUAUUAAUGUUUCAGGAUAUAUUUAUUUUUUCAUGGAAAACCAUUAAUCCAUUUCAUUAUACCACAGUCUAUGUCUGUCAAACCCAUAUAAAAAAUAUCCAGGCUUUAGUAGUCUUGGUAUUUUGAGCCAAUUCUACCAUGCAGCUCUGUUUGUGCUUACUAAAUAAUACAUGAAAGUAUGCACCAUUAAUACUUAUGGUAAUGUAUUAGCAUGACUGUGUGCAUGAGUGGUUGUAAUGGAAAGUAUGAUGGUCUGGGUGUGGGUAUGGAUGUGACUGUGUAUGUGUGCAUGAGUGCAUGCAUGUGUUUGUUCGUUUGUUUGUUAAAAUGCACACACGUGUUUGCCUGUUCUGGGACAUUUUGUUGACAAAGGAUCAUUAACAAUUUUUAUGUAUCUGCUUUAUUUGAACAUGAGGAUAUGUAACAUAUUCUGUAAUAAUGUUUCCAGUAUAUUUAUUUUUUCUCAAACAUUGUGAUAGCUAAAUUACAUAAGCCUAAACAGGUAUUUAUCUAUACUUUGGUUAAAAUUUAGGCUGAAGACAAAAGUGUGGGGUGAAAUAAGUUAGUGAGAACAACAAAGGAAUAAAAAAAAAAAGUUUGUCAUUUUUCUGACAUAGACAAGAGAAAGAACUCUUUACAUUUUAUUUUAGCAUGUUUUAUGUGAUGUAUGUAUAAAGCUUUCUUUAUUAUGCCAACUAAUGGUAAUAGACAUUAGAUAAUUAUUGUAAUAAUUUUAAUGGUGAGAAAUGUGGUAAGUAGCAAACAUUAUUUUAUUGAAUGUGAAUUUUUUAUAAUAAAAUAUUUAUCAGUAUUCA
This is an RNA transcript of Penaeus monodon (black tiger shrimp), 2628 nucleotides long. RefSeq lists it as uncharacterized. The transcript has 10 exons. NCBI's taxonomy places the organism in Eukaryota, Metazoa, Arthropoda, Malacostraca, Decapoda, Penaeidae. The record is from RefSeq and is a predicted model, not a curated record.